ACCCGUCUAGCUCAGUCGGUAGAGCGCUGGCCUUUUAAGCCAGUGGUCGUGGGUUCGAGCCCCACGGGGGGUG
Transfer RNA from Phytophthora infestans T30-4, 73 nucleotides. It matches the Rfam family "tRNA". From Rfam's summary of the family: Transfer RNA (tRNA) molecules are approximately 80 nucleotides in length. Their secondary structure includes four short double-helical elements and three loops (D, anti-codon, and T loops). NCBI's taxonomy places the organism in Eukaryota, Oomycota, Peronosporomycetes, Peronosporales, Peronosporaceae. The record is from Rfam.